UCCCUGGUGGACUAGCGGCGGAAGAUCCCGCGCUCUCACCGCAGCCCGGGUUCGAUUCCCAGGCAGGGAA
This is a non-coding RNA of Pangasius djambal, 70 nucleotides long. The record is from the annotation of a GenBank genome assembly. Lineage: Eukaryota; Metazoa; Chordata; Actinopteri; Siluriformes; Pangasiidae.